CACGAAGCUAUUGUCAUGGAAAUGGACCUCUUUCUUCACUGUGUGAUCCCAAACUUCAUUGAAAGCCAAGACUUCUUGGAAGAACUUCAGAAGGAACGUUUGAACGUGGACUUUCACAAAAAAUACAAUGAUUUAUAUAGGUUCCAACAGUCUAAUGAUUUGAAGAAGAGAAGAGAGCCUGAUCUCUGCUUUAAGGAAAAUUCUGUUUGAAGAUUUCUGAGCCUGGCUUUUUGACAUUUCUAAAAUUGACCUAGAAUCAACUAUUGACAUGUCCUGUGCUAAAUAUGAAUUCACUGAUGCCCUACUUUGCCAUGAUGAUGAGCUGGGAGGGUGCCAGAUUGCCUUAAUUUUGUACCUGGGGAUAAGAGUUUUGGGGGCACCCUGGAUCUCUACACCAUUGAUGAACACUUUCAGCUGAAGCACAUCAUCAAGUCUCUUAUACCUUCAUGGAACAAACUGGUCUUCUUCAAACUGGUGUCUGAAGUCCUAUCUGAAGAGAAGUCGCAUUUGUCUCUAAGUGGCUGAUUUCAUGGUUCUUCACAGAUCAGGCCUCCCAACUACUUUGAACCCCUCAUACCUUGGAACCUUCACAUCCCAAAAGAUCACAAAAUUUCAUAUGGUGGGUCAACUCUACUUAUCUAGACAUGAAUCAUCAAGGUCAAAUUCAAGAAGAGUUUGAAGAAAGUUCUGAAAUUCUCUUGAAGGAGUUUCUUAAGCCUGAGAAUUUGCAAAGGUCUGUGAGGCCCUGGAGAAAUGACAUGUGGAAUGGAGCAGCCAAGGUCCCCCUAAUAAAAGGUUUUAUGAGAAAGCUGAAGAGAGUAAGCUUCCCAAUAUACUGAAAGACUGCAUGGAGUUAUUUUGCUUUGAGGCACUGUUCUUGCUGCUCUCCAACUUCACAGGCCUGAAGCUUCACUUCUUGGCCCCUUCAGAAGAAGAUGAGACUGAUGACAAAAAAGAGGAAAGAGCAGCCUCUGCUGCUGAUUGUACUGAAGAAGGGACUAGCCAUAACUCCUCUGAGCCAGAGAAUAAGCAUGCAGCCAUCAGCAACAAGAGCCAAUAGACAGGCCCAGAGCCAGAGGAAAAUGAAACAAAGAAAGAAUUAAGUGUUCCCACAUGCUAAGGAGAAUUGAGGCAUUGAAAGACAGGCCACUACACUUUAAUCCAUGACAAUAGCAAGGCUGAAUUUUCCCUGGACUUAGUUCUUUACUGUGGAUGUGAUGGCUGGGAGCCAGAGUAUGGUGGCUUUACUUCCUACAUUGCUAAAAGUGAAGAUGUAGAACUGCUAACAGUGAAUCCAGAAAACAAUUCUUUGGCAUUGGUGUACAGAGAUAGAGAGACUCUGAAAUUUGUCAAAUCUUUUUUUUUUUUUUUUUUGCAGCAUAUUAACCACUGAAGUCUAGAACAAAAGAAAACCUUCCCAAACAGAACAGGUUUCUGGGACUUUUCAUUAGUCUAUUAUGAAUGA
RNA transcript from Nycticebus coucang (slow loris), 1465 nucleotides. It is a transcript of the gene named prolyl 3-hydroxylase OGFOD1-like, with no coding region annotated. NCBI's taxonomy places the organism in Eukaryota, Metazoa, Chordata, Mammalia, Primates, Lorisidae. The transcript has 2 exons. The record is from RefSeq and is a predicted model, not a curated record.